Molecule: unclassified non-coding RNA, 377 nt
Filed under: uncultured bacterium
Lineage: Bacteria
Description: contains 16S-23S intergenic spacer region
Source: RNAcentral
UCCGGUUUGUCACCGGCAGUCUCAUUAGAGUGCCCAACUGAAUGUAGCAACUAAUGACAAGGGUUGCGCUCGUUGCGGGACUUAACCCAACAUCUCACGACACGAGCUGACGACAGCCAUGCAGCACCUGUCUCUGGGUUCCUUGCGGCACCCCCGAAUCUCUUCAGGGUUCCCAGGAUGUCAAGGCCAGGUAAGGUUCUUCGCGUUGCAUCGAAUUAAACCACAUGCUCCACCGCUUGUGCGGGUCCCCGUCAAUUCCUUUGAGUUUUAACCUUGCGGCCGUACUCCCCAGGCGGGGCACUUAAUGCGUUAGCGACGGCGCGGAUCUCGUUGGUUGAGACCCACACCUAGUGCCCAACGUUUACGGCGUGGACUAC